GGGGCUCCAAGCCCAUUGUUUCACAUGUUGUCGAAGGGGCUAACCCCGACACAGGAGAACUGCCAACUGCGGUGGAAACUUUUCAAAAGUUUCACCAUAAAGGCAACGAUUGGCGCAACGAGUUCGCGCAACAAGCUUACGAGCAAAUGGUUGAAAUAGCGGCAACUCAACCAGCGCCCACUGCAGAUGAGCCCGAAGAGCCUGCUGUCGAUCCUACAC
Molecule: long non-coding RNA, 219 nt
Organism: Cannabis sativa
Lineage: Eukaryota; Viridiplantae; Streptophyta; Magnoliopsida; Rosales; Cannabaceae
Exons: 3
Source: RefSeq, a predicted model, not a curated record